Molecule: ribosomal RNA, 693 nt
Filed under: Triticum aestivum (bread wheat)
Lineage: Eukaryota; Viridiplantae; Streptophyta; Magnoliopsida; Poales; Poaceae
Description: partial small subunit ribosomal RNA
Source: RNAcentral
AUGGAGGCUGCGACAGGAGAGGCGGCCCCGCCGCGACCCUUGGCGUCGUCGGCGGCGGAGCAGGAGCGCCCCGCCCCUCCGUACCUCCCCAGGCUCGUCGCCGGCGUCCUCUCCGGUGUGCUCACCGGCCUCUUCGCGGUCGCUGGAGGCUUGACGGGGGCGGUCACCGGCGCGUUGGCUGGGAGAGCUUCGGACAGCGGCGUUCUCCGGGGAGCUGGGCUGGGGGCAUUUGCUGGCGCUGUCCUGUCCAUUGAGGUCCUGGAGGCUUCCCGCGCUUAUUGGUGCGCCGACAGGUCAACACCGCAGAGUACAUCAUCCAUGGGGGAUUUCGUGGAUCAGCUCCUUCAUGCUCGGUUUGUGGGAGAGCAGUACGAGCCAUCAGUGUAUAUGUCAUAUCGUUGGCAGGUUGGUAUUGCAGAGUUUGGCAAUGAUGAUCCGUAUGAUAUCACUGGAGAAAUUUCAUCCGAUGGGCUCUCACAGGAUAACUUGAAGAAGUUGCCAUACCAUGUGGUGAUUGAUCAGAAACAAGAGCCAGCUGGUGAAAACUUGUCUUGCCCUAUUUGCCUACAGGAUAUCGUGACGGGAGAGAUGGCGAGGAGGCUGCCGAAGUGUUGUCACACCUUCCAUCAGCCCUGUGUGGACAAAUGGCUCAUUGGCCAUGGUUCGUGCCCUGUUUGUAGGCAAGAUGUGUAA